CCUACGGGCUGCACCAGUGGGGAAUAUUGCACAAUGGGCGCAAGCCUGAUGCAGCCAUGCCGCGUGUAUGAAGAAGGCCUUCGGGUUGUAAAGUACUUUCAGCGGGGAGGAAGGUGUUGUGGUUAAUAACCACAGCAAUUGACGUUACCCGCGGAAGAAGCACCGGCUAACUCCGUGCCAGCAGCCGCGGUAAUACGGAGGGUGCAAGCGUUAAUCGGAAUUACUGGGCGUAAAGCGCACGCAGGCGGUCUGUCAAGUCGGAUGUGAAAUCCCCGGGCUCAAACUGGGUACUGCAUUCGAAACUGGCAGGCUAGAGUCUUGCAGAGGGGGGUGAAAUUCCAGGUGUAGCGGUGAAAUGCGUAGAGAUCUGGAGGAAUACCGGUGGCGAAGGCGGCCCCCUGGACAAAGACUGACGCUCAGGUGCGAAAGCGUGGGGAGCAAACAGGAUUAGAUACCCGUGUAGUC
RNAcentral lists this ribosomal RNA (465 nucleotides) under uncultured bacterium. Its description in RNAcentral is "bacterial SSU rRNA". It matches the Rfam family "Bacterial small subunit ribosomal RNA", at positions 338 to 795 of the family's 1533-position model. The record is from RNAcentral.